AGCAUAACAUCUUGACUCGGCUAUAAUUAUAUCCGUUUGGAGCCUACGCAAAAUUAGCCUGAAUUGCGUGCUAUAAAGAGGGAAAAUAAAGCUGGAAAUUUUCAGUCUUGUUCUGUGUGCGGCUGCUAAAGCUCUGAGCCCAGCGACGAGGCUCUUGCAGGGACCUAAAGCGUUCAGCCAGCGUAGUGACCACUGGAUAUUUAACACUGACACAUAUAUGAAUAUACGCCUGAUCUGCAUACUCAUUUAUCUUACAAAAGUAAUGGAAGAGGUGGUCUUGACCCCAGC
Long non-coding RNA from Tachysurus vachellii, 288 nucleotides. RefSeq lists it as uncharacterized. The record is from RefSeq and is a predicted model, not a curated record. The transcript has 3 exons. NCBI's taxonomy places the organism in Eukaryota, Metazoa, Chordata, Actinopteri, Siluriformes, Bagridae.